AAUGAUGUAGGACAUUCUAGAAUAGUCUUGAGAUGUAAGGAACCCUCCAAGGUUCCAGAGAGUUCCAUUGGUGCCUAUAAAUAGGUGAGGGCCUCAUUUGGCCAAGGCACCAAGCAAGUGAGCAUCCAAGCACUUGUAAAGGCUUCUUUGAGUAAUAGAAAGCUUCCAUUCUUUAAGGAGUUGCCUACCAAGCUUCUUAAGCUUUUGAGUCGCGAGUGUCUUAGCCGGGUGAGCUAAGUAUUGGGAGCAAGGCUGACUUAGCAAGAUCAAGCGUCUUGGCUUGUCUAAGUGCCGCACGAGCUUAGUGAACGACUAAGUCCGUGACAAGUGGUAUCAGAGCACGGUUACGAGGUGGGCAUACCAAAGGAAGCAUGUCGGGCUCUAACGUGGAGGANNNNNNNNNNNNNNNNNNNNNNNNNNNNNNNNNNNNNNNNNNNNNNNNNNNNNNNNNNNNNNNNNNNNNNNNNNNNNNNNNNNNNNNNNNNNNNNNNNNNAAUGUCACAAGCUGACCCAAAUGAGCCUCCCCAUGGCCUUAUAUAGGGCCAGGAAGCUUCUGGAGACUCCUAAGAAUGGGAAGAGUGUGGAAGGUUCUAGAGAAGUUUGGAGAAGUCCACACAAUUCUACACUAUGGUGGAAGGCACAAGAGGGGUCCGGGGCUUUCUAGAGAAGUCUAGAAGACUCUUGUAUAUACUUGUAUAUAGGCUUGUAACUAGAAUGAUGUAGGACAUUCUAGAAUAGUCUUGAGAUGUAAGGAACCCUCCAAGGUUCCAGAGAGUUCCAUUGGUGCCUAUAAAUAGGUGAGGGCCUCAUUUGGCCAAGGCACCAAGCAAGUGAGCAUCCAAGCACUUGUAAAGGCUUUCUUGAGAUAAUAAAGCUUCCAUUCUUUAAGGAGUUGCCUACCAAGCUUCUUAAGCUUUUGAGUUGCAAGUGUCUUAGCCUAGCAAGCUAAGCAUUGGGGAGCAAGGCUGACUUAGCAAGAUCAAGCGUCUUGGCUUGUCUAAGUGCCGCACGAGCUUAGUGAACGACUAAGUCCGUGACAAGUGGUAUCAGAGCACGGUUACGAGGUGGGCAUACCAAAGGAAGCAUGUCGGGCUCUAACGUGGAGGAGACUAGCGAGCAAACCCGUGGACGGGAGAUAGAACGUGCUGCACGAGGCCGAGGUAGGAAGGAUAAGUCUCAUGACGCCUUAGCCAACAUGGAGGCAAGGCUAGCCAAGGUGGAGCUAGCCAUGGCGGACACCCGGGAAGGGGUGGACUUGAUCGAGCAAGGCAUGGAGAAGGGAUUAGAGGAUCUAAGGGAACAGAUCCAAGACCUUCGCGAGGGAGUGCUAGGCUCACAAGUUCAGCCGGUGUCACAUGAGGAGUUCAUGUCCUUCCAAGACAAGGUCAUGACCAUGUUCGCUAGUGUGGAGUCAAGGAUGGAGGCCUUGGCUGCACGCAUGGAUGCCCGAGACCAAGAGAUCCGACAAGAGCUGGCCAUCUACAAGACUGCGGUGUCAGCACGAGUCAUGGCCACUCAUGAGGCACCAAGGGUGGAGGUGCCCAAGCCACACACGUUCAGUGGCAAGAGGGAUGCCAAGGAGCUGGAUAACUUCUUGUGUCACAUGGAGCGUUACUUUGAGGCAAUUACACUAACGGAUGAAGCCACUAAGGUACGCACCGCGACCCUCUACCUCACCGAUAAUGCUACUCUAUGGUGGCGUCGACGGUUUGCCGACAUAGAGAGAGGGACAUGCACCAUAGACACAUGGGAUGCCUUCAAGAGAGAAAUCAAGAGGCAAUUCUAUCCCGAAGAUGUGGCUUAUCUAGCAAGGAAGAGUUUGAAGCGUCUCAAGCACACGGGCUCGAUCCGUGAGUAUGUCAAAGAAUUCUCUACUCUUAUGCUUGAGAUACCUAACAUGGCUGAGGAGGAGCUGCUGUUCAACUUCAUGGACAACUUGCAAAGCUGGGCCGAGCAAGAGUUGAGGAGACGUGGUGUCCAAGACCUAGCCACGGCCAUGGCAGUAGCCGAGUCCUUAGUGGAUUAUAGAAGGGGAGACUCCUCCAAGCCCAAGCCACCAUCCAAGGGUAACCCGGCCAAAGGUGGGGGAGACAAGAGGUCGCAGGGCCACACUCCUAAGGAAGGAUCGAGCAAGGGCCCUAGUGGCAAGGAUGGCAAAGGCAAGGACAAGCGGAAGGAGUUCAAGCCCAGGACCAAUUGCUUCUUGUGCGAUGGUCCGCACUGGGCACGGGACUGCCCUAAGAGGAAGGCUUUAAAUGCUAUGAUCGAGGAGAAGGAGCAGGAAGACGAUGCUAAGAUGGGAUCGUUGCAGCUCCUAAAUGCCCUUAAGGCCAAGCCGAUGCCUAAGACGCCUCAAAGCAAAGGGCUGAUGUACGUGGAGGCCCUUGUGAAUGGUAAGGCCACCAAGGCCCUGGUGGACACAGGUGCCACUCACAACUUUGUCUCGGAGGAUGAGGCAAAAAGGUUGGAGCUCCAAGCAUCCAAAGAAGGAGGAUGGCUCAAGGCAGUCAAUUCAGCCGCCAAGCCAUCGCAGGGAGUAGCUCGCGGGGUGACUAUGCACAUUGGCUCGUGGGAAGGAAGGGUCAACUUCACAGUGGCACCCAUGGACGACUUCAAGAUGGUGCUAGGAAUGGAUUUCCUACAGAAGGUCAAGGCCGUGCCACUACCUUUCCUACGCUCAAUGGCCAUCCUAGAGGAGGAGAAGCCGUGCAUGGUCCCUACGGUCACUGAAGGUACGCUCAAGACCCCUAUGCUAUCUGCUAUGCAAGUAAAGAAGGGGUUAAAGAGGGAAGAGGUGACCUACCUCGCCACCUUAAAGGAAGAGAAGAAUGAUGGGUCGGGAGAACCCAUUCCUAAGGAAAUCGAGGGGGUCCUUGAUGAGUUCAAGGACGUGAUGCCGCCCGAGUUGCCUAAGAGACUUCCUCCUAGGAGAGAGGAAGAUCACAAGAUUGAGUUGGAGCCAGGAGCCAAGCCCCCUGCUAUGGGGCCAUAUAGGAUGGCACCACCUGAGUUGGAGGAGCUAAGGAGACAACUCAAGGAGUUGCUAGAUGCGGGGUUCAUCCAACCAUCCAAGGCUCCCUAUGGCGCGCCGGUUCUAUUUCAAAAGAAGCAUGAUGGGUCCCUACGAAUGUGCAUAGAUUACCGGGCACUCAAUAAGGUGACAGUGAAGAACAAGUAUCCCAUCCCGCUCAUUGCUGACUUGUUCGAUCAACUUGGAAGGGCUAGGUACUUCACGAAGCUGGACUUAAGGUCGGGCUAUUACCAAGUCAGGAUUGCGGAGGGAGAUGAGCCGAAGACUACGUGUGUGACCAGGUAUGGCUCAUAUGAGUUCUUAGUGAUGCCUUUUGGACUCACCAAUGCCCCAGCAACGUUCUGCACCCUCAUGAACAAGAUCUUCCACCCAUACUUGGACAAGUUCGUGGUGGUGUACUUGGAUGACAUAGUCAUCUACAGUAACACUCUAAAGGAGCACAAAGAGCACUUGAGGAAGGUCUUUAAGAUCUUAAGGCAGAACGAGCUAUACGUGAAGAAGGAGAAGUGUUCGUUUGCUAAGGAGGAAGUGAGCUUCCUUGGGCAUCGCAUCAGAGAUGGCAAGCUGAUGAUGGAUAAUAGCAAGGUGAAGGCCAUCCAAGAAUGGGAUCCACCAACCAAGGUACCUCAACUCAGAUCUUUCCUUGGUCUAGUUAAUUAUUACCGGCGGUUCAUAAAGGGUUAUUCGGCAAGGGCUGCCCCACUCACUGAUCUUCUCAAGAAGAAUAAGGCAUGGGAAUGGGAUGGAAGGUGCCAACAAGCCUUUGAGGACUUGAAGAAGGCUGUGACUGAGGAGCCAGUGUUGGCACUACCCGACCACACCAAGGUCUUUGAGGUACACACAGAUGCCUCAGACUUCGCUAUUGGGGGAGUCCUUAUGCAAGAGAGGCACCCAAUUGCAUUUGAGAGUCGCAAGCUAAACGACGCAGAGAGGCGUUACACGGUGCAAGAAAAGGAGAUGACCGCUAUCGUCCACUGCUUGCGCACCUGGAGGCACUAUCUGCUAGGGUCUCACUUCAUAGUGAAGACCGACAAUGUGGCCACUAGCUACUUCCAGACACAGAAAAAGUUGAGUCCUAAACAAGCUAGGUGGCAAGACUUCCUGGCCGAGUUCGACUAUACGCUGGAGUAUAAGCCAGGAAGUGCUAACCAUGUGGCCGACGCCCUAAGUCGCAAAGCCGAACUAGCGUCCAUGACGAGUCAGCCCCAAGGAGAUAUAGUGGAUCUUCUAAGGGAGGGAUUGCAACAUGAUCCAGUGGCUAAAAGCCUUAUCGCCCUGGCUCAUGAAGGAAAGACUAAGCGAUUUUGGGUGGAGGACGGCCUACUCUAUACCAAAGGGAGACGACUCUACGUGCCUAAGUGGGGGAACAUAAGGAGGAACCUGAUUAAGGAGUGCCAUGACACCAAGUGGGCUGGGCACCCUGGGCAACGACGCACUAGGGCACUACUUGAGUCGGCGUAUUAUUGGCCUCAGAUACGGGACGAGGUUGAGGCCUAUGUGAGGACUUGUCUUGUGUGCCAACAAGACAAGGUGGAGCAGCGACAACCUAGAGGCCUGUUAGAGCCACUACCUAUAGCAGAACGCCCAUGGGACAGCGUCACCAUGGACUUCAUCAUCGGGCUACCCAAGUCAGAGGACAAUGGGUCUAUCAUAGUGGUGGUGGAUAGGUUCUCUAAGUAUGCAACCUUCAUAGCAGCCCCGACUGACUGCACGGCGGAAGAGACGGCAAGGCUAUUCCUAAAGCACGUAGUCAAGUAUUGGGGGUUGCCUAAGUUCAUUAUCAGUGAUCGCGACCCACGCUUCACUGGGAAGUUUUGGACGGAACUCUUCAAGCUUAUGGGUUCGGAGCUUCAUUUCUCCACAAGCUUUCACCCACAGACAGAUGGACAGACUGAGAGGGUAAACGCUUUAUUGGAGCUCUACCUAAGGCACUUCGUGAGUGCCAACCAGAAAGAUUGGGCUAAGUUGCUAGAUGUAGCCCAGUUCUCAUACAACCUACAAAGGAGUGAGGCGACCAACAAGAGUCCGUUCGAGCUAGCUACGGGACAACAACCGUUAACUCCUCACACCCUAACAAUUGGCUACACGGGGAGAAGUCCAGCGGCUUUCAAGUUCGCAAAAGGGUGGCACGAGCAAGCUGAUAUAGCACGCUCAUACUUGGACAAGGCCGCUAAGAAAAUGAAGAAGUGGGCUGACAAGAAGCGACGACACACGGAGUAUAAGGUCGGAGACAUGGUGCUUGUCAAGCUCCUUCCUCAACAAUUCAAGUCCCUAAGGCCGGUGCACAAGGGCCUUGUGAGGAGGUAUGAAGGACCCUUCCCCAUACUUGGGAAGGUCGGCAAGGUGUCCUAUAGAGUCGAGCUACCCCCGAGGUUGAAGAUUCAUCCUGUCUUCCAUGCCAGCUACUUGAAGCCCUAUCAUGAAGACAAGGAUAAUCCAAGCCGAGGGCUGUCCAAGAGGGCACCUACAGCGGUCGUGACCUCCUAUGAUAAGGAGGUAGAACUCAUCCUCGCAGACCGGGUCAUCAGGAGACGAGGGGUACCUCCUGCUACGGAAUACUUAGUGAAAUGGAAAGGGCUACCAGAAAGUGAGGCUAGCUAGGAGCCAGCAGAGGCACUAUGGCAGUUCCAGGAACAGAUCGAGCGGUUCCGGGCAGAAGGCGCGACGAGGACGCCUGCGGCAUAGGUGGGGGAGAGUGUCACAGGCUGACCCAAAUGAGCCUCCCCAUGGCCUUAUAUAGGGCCAGGAAGCUUCUGGAGACUCCUAGAAUGGGAAGAGUGUGGAAGGUUCUAGAGAAGUCUGGAGGAGUCCACACAAUUCUACACUAUGGUGGAAGGCACAAGAGGAGUCCGGGGCUUUCUAGAGAAGUCUAGAAGACUCUUGUAUAUACUUGUAUAUAGGCUUGUAAACUAGAAUGAUGUAGGACAUUCUAGAAUAGUCUUGAGAUGUAAGGAACCCUCCAAGGUUCCAGAGAGUUCCAUUGGUGCCUAUAAAUAGGUGAGGGCCUCAUUUGGCCAAGGCACCAAGCAAGUGAGCAUCCAAGCACUUGUAAAGGCUUCUUUGAGUAAUAGAAAGCUUCCAUUCUUUAAGGAGUUGCCUACCAAGCUUCUUAAGCUUUUGAGUCGCGAGUGUCUUAGCCGGGUGAGCUAAGUAUUGGGAGCAAGGCUGACUUAGCAAGAUCAAGCGUCUUGGCUUGUCUAAGUGCCGCACGAGCUUAGUGAACGACUAAGUCCGUGACAUUAGGC
RNAcentral lists this long non-coding RNA (6276 nucleotides) under Vitis vinifera (wine grape). RNAcentral describes it as "long non-coding RNA (VVIN_LNC000269)". Lineage: Eukaryota; Viridiplantae; Streptophyta; Magnoliopsida; Vitales; Vitaceae. The record is from RNAcentral.